AAGCCAUUAUGGUCGUCGGGGUUCUCCGGAGAAAGAAGUAAGAUACGAUACAUGAGAGGGAGAGAUGUAUUAUAAUGAAUUGGCCCACACGAUUGUGGGGACUGGCAGGCUGCAGGCUGGAGAGCCAGAGAAGAGAUGAAGAAAAGAGAAGAGAUGAUGCUGAAUCUGGAGCCCAGAGACCACCUGGAGGCAGGAUUCCCUUUCCCUCCGGGACCUCUGUCUUUCUUUCUCUUAAGGCCUUCAACCAUUUAGGUGAAGUCCACUCACAUUAUGGGGGUAACCCUCUUCACUAAAUAUCCACUGAUUUCAAUGUUAAUCUCAUCUAACAAAUACCUUCACAGCAAUAUUUACACUGAGUGUUUGACCUAAUAUCUGGGUUCAUGGCCUAGCCAAGUUGGCACAAAAUCGCCCCUUGCAACGACCAAGUUUAAGAUGGUGUGUUAUGGGACAAAAGCCAUCUGGCAUACUUUGUAACCAUCAUCUCCGCUGGUCUUUCAACCCUGCAGACUCAGCUGUCUUAAGAAUUUUUCGGCAAAAUUUUGUAAUUCCAAAAUGUAGUAAUUCCAAAAGGCUGCAACUCUCCUGUUACUCUGGGGGAAAGCUUAACAACUAAGAUUCAGAGCAAAGGAAGACGAUGCCGGCAGCAGGCUUUGGGUGCUUGUGGGGCAGCAGGUUGUACCAGGGGCAGGUGCAGACCCCUGCCUCCCUUGCCUUCACCACAGUCACAACAGGCCAGGCCAGCCCAUCCAUCAUGUCUCUAGGAUAUCUCAGGGGUUCAAGGCCACCACACCAUUUGCAGCACACUCCACUCGCUGAUCUGUGAUAUGGGAGAUGUGCUUAUUGGCGAAUAAAUCACCAUGUCAAGUUAACGGCCUGUGUCCAAGGCGAGUGACUUCGAGGUCAGCAUAGCAGCAUACCAUUGGAUGCAGCGGGUUCUGCUUCUGCGCACAGUGCCUCAUCAGAACAUAAAUUUUCAAAUACCAGAUGUGAUAAAAGACAACAUCGAGCUUUCUGUUUUUUGAAGGAGAGGAGAAGGAGAUCCUGGAUACAUUCUCUGAAAGGUGCCUCCACUUCAUCACUGAUCCCGACACGUGGGAGGAAGGAGAGGAGGACAGUGAAGACCAUCAGCAAGGGAGAGCAGGUUCCCUGCCCUGGAUCCCUGCCCUGGUCCCCUGCCCUGAUUCCCUGCCCCAUGUUGUAGGUCUUUGGGCUACAUUUCUACCCAUUGGCUGAACAUAAAAACUGUCCUAUGAACUAUUUGGCAGCAAGUUCACAGCAAAGAAUAUUAACUCUGUGAGGCACCUUAGACAAUGCCUGGCUUAACCCCCACUUGACAAAUAAAGACACAUGUUCUGACUCACCCACCAUCCCAGGAGCAACUGACCAGGCUGAGGAACUCUGUCCACUGCCUGCAGCCCACUUGGCCUUCCACUGUGACGUCCAGGCUGAGGAACUGUGUCUGCCACCUGCAGCCCACUUGGCCUUCCACUGUGAUGUCCUUUCCAGGACUCUGAGCAGAGAUGGGUUUAUAACAAGCAUAAAUUGUUAUUUUGUAUCGAUCUGCACAUCAAUUUAUAUAUUUUGAAAAUUAAAAGAAAUCCAAUGAUAAGAAUUUUUCUCACAAGUUAAUUAAGGAAACUAGGUCAAUGGAAAUUUCUUAGGUUAUGAAAAUAUUGAUGUGAAUAUGUUAUGUGAGAAUCAUUUCAAAAUGAGUUAAAGGGGCUGGGCACAGUGGUUCACACCUGUAAUCCCAGCACUUUGGGAGGCCAAGGUGGGUGGAUCAUGAGGUCAAGACAUUGAGACCAUCCUGGCCAACAUGGUGAAACCCUGUCUCUACUAAAAAUACAAAAAUUAGCCAGGCAUGGUGGCACAUGCCUGUAGUCCCAGCUACUCAGGAGGCUGAGGCGGGAGAAUAGCUUGAACCUGGGAGGUGGAGGUUGCUGUCACGCGACUGCACUCCAGCCUGGUGAGAGAGCAAGAGAGCAAGACUCCGUCUCAAAAAAAAAAAAAAAAAAAAAAACAAACCAGGAGUUACAGGAAUCUAGGAUAUUUUGCUUUCUGUCCCUAAACUUUGGGGCUUAAUUUGGCAGAAACUUGGGAGUGGGAGGGUGAAGUUUGUGGCGUCCUGCUUGCCUUGAAUUUGUGGUGGCCACAGAAUGCAGGCUUGACUUCAUGCAGGUUCUCAUACAUCAUUAUGGAGAACAUCUUUUUGUAUUUACUUCAAUAUUUAUUUUGUAGUGAAAAUAAAAGCAAUACCAGUUUUCUGAAGGGUUUCUUAAAUCAAUUCCUUUGUGUCCUAUAGGGCAAUACUUUGCUCCUAGAGAAGUCUGUGAACCAUUGGUGUCUUUGAUUUGUCUCAUUAGAACGCCCACCCUCAU
Molecule: long non-coding RNA, 2378 nt
Filed under: Homo sapiens (human)
Lineage: Eukaryota; Metazoa; Chordata; Mammalia; Primates; Hominidae
Description: HSALNT0082834
Source: RNAcentral